UACGUAGGUGGCAAGCGUUGUCCGGAUUUAUUGGGCGUAAAGCGCCCGCAGGCGGCUCAGCAAGUUUCAGGUGAAAUCUCCUGGCUCAACUGGGAGGGGUCUUGGAAAACUGCUGGGCUUGAGGCAGGGAGAGGGAUGCGGAAUACCAGGUGUAGUGGUGAAAUGCGUAGAUAUCUGGUGGAACACCAGUGGCGAAGGCGGCAUCCUGGCCCUGUCCUGACGCUCAGGGGCGAAAGCGUGGGGAGCAAAC
RNAcentral lists this ribosomal RNA (250 nucleotides) under uncultured bacterium. RNAcentral describes it as "partial 16S ribosomal RNA". It matches the Rfam family "Bacterial small subunit ribosomal RNA", at positions 524 to 773 of the family's 1533-position model. The record is from RNAcentral.